RNAcentral lists this ribosomal RNA (1350 nucleotides) under Triticum aestivum (bread wheat). RNAcentral describes it as "partial small subunit ribosomal RNA". The record is from RNAcentral. Lineage: Eukaryota; Viridiplantae; Streptophyta; Magnoliopsida; Poales; Poaceae.
AUGAGGUGCUUGCUCAAGACGAACAUUGUGGUCAUAGGGACCGGUCCGAGUCUCAGAUUCAAGCUUUCAGAGAGUGUUUGCUGUCUAACGGACUUGGGAUACUCUGGACCGAGGUUUACUUGGUGCAACAAACAAGAGUCGGGCUGUCAUGUCAAGUGUCGGCUGGACCGUGCUGUUGCAAAUGGUGCUUUCACGAGUUUGUUUGAUGACUGUGGGGUAGAGAAUCUUAUUGCAACUUCUUCUGAUCACUACCCUGUGUUGGUUUCUUUAGUUUGCAGCGAUCGUCAGAAUCGGAUAUCUCCUGUCCAGCAAAGUUUCAAAUUUGAGGCUAUGUGGCUGAGGGCCGACGACUACAAGGGGACUGUGGAACAAGCUUGGUCUGACGGUCGGGCGGGCUGCCCGUCCUUGGAAUCCACCUGGUCUAAUCUGAAACAUGUCGCUGGCUCUUUACGAUCAUGGAGCAAAGAGGCCUUUGGUUGCAUCAGAAGGAAAAUUGGGAAGCUGGAGCGACGCUUGGCUUCUAUUAGGUCGUCGCCUCCAACUCCUGCUCUGCUGGCGGAGGAACGGUCGAUCGAGGGACAACUGUGCGAGCUUUUUGAACGUGAGGAAAUUAUGGCACGUCAACGAUCCCGGAUUGAUUGGCUGCAAGCGGGCGAUCGCAACACGGAUUUCUUUCAUGCUAGGGUGACUGCUCGUAGGCGGACGAACAGGAUACACUCGUUGAUCCGUGGAGAUGGCUCCUGCUGCAAUUCCUAGGGGGAAAUCAAGGGCCUGGUUCAAGACUUCUAUAAACUCUUUACCUCUGAACCUUGCCAAACUGCGGACAAGGUCAUUGAUGCCAUUAAUCCUAAGAUCACGCCGGAGAUGAAUGAGGAUCUCUGCAAGCCGUACUCUAAUGAGGAGAUCAAAACCGCUUUGUUUCAGAUGGGCCCGACGAAGGCGCCGGGUCCUGACGGUUUUCCGGCUCAGUUCUAUCAAACACAUUGGAGUUUUCUUGGGGAAGACAUAUGCCAGGCCAUGCGUGGUUUCCUUGAAGGGAGGCCCAUCCCUGAGGGCUUUUGUGACUCUGUCAUUGUUUUAAUCCCCAAAACUUCUCGACCCAAACACUUGAAGAACUUCCGUCCAAUCAACCUCUGCAAUGUGCUUUAUAAGAUUGCUUCCAAGGUUCUGGCCAAUCGGUUGAAGCUUCUCCUACCGGUUGUGGUUUUAGAGUGUCAGAGUGCUUUUGUGCCGGGCAGAUUAAUCACCGACAAUACUUUGAUUGCUUACGAAUGCUUGCACACGAUCAGAAGGCAACGGGUGAAGAAACCUUUCUUUGCUCUCAAGAUUGACAUGAUGAAGGCUUAUUGA